GAACGCUGGCGGCAGGCCUAACACAUGCAAGUCGAACGGUAACAGGAAUCAGCUUGCUGAUUCGCUGACGAGUGGCGGACGGGUGAGUAAUGUCUGGGAAACUGCCUGAUGGAGGGGGAUAACUACUGGAAACGGUAGCUAAUACCGCAUAACGUCGCAAGACCAAAGAGGGGGACCUUCGGGCCUCUUGCCAUCGGAUGUGCCCAGAUGGGAUUAGCUAGUAGGUGGGGUAAAGGCUCACCUAGGCGACGAUCCCUAGCUGGUCUGAGAGGAUGACCAGCCACACUGGAACUGAGACACGGUCCAGACUCCUACGGGAGGCAGCAGUGGGGAAUAUUGCACAAUGGGCGCAAGCCUGAUGCAGCCAUGCCGCGUGUAUGAAGAAGGCCUUCGGGUUGUAAAGUACUUUCAGCGGGGAGGAAGGGAGUAAAGUUAAUACCUUUGCUCAUUGACGUUACCCGCAGAGGAAGCACCGGCUAACUCCGUGCCAGCAGCCGCGGUAAUACGGAGGGUGCAAGCGUUAAUCGGAAUUACUGGGCGUAAAGCGCACGCAGGCGGUUUGUUAAGUCAGAUGUGAAAUCCCCGGGCUCAACCUGGGAACUGCAUCUGAUACUGGCAAGCUUGAGUCUCGUAGAGGGGGGUAGAAUUCCAGGUGUAGCGGUGAAAUGCGUAGAGAUCUGGAGGAAUACCGGUGGCGAAGGCGGCCCCCUGGACGAAGACUGACGCUCAGGUGCGAAAGCGUGGGGAGCAAACAGGAUUAGAUACCCUGGUAGUCCACGCCGUAAACGAUGUCGACUUGGAGGUUGUGCCCUUGAGGCGUGGCUUCCGGAGCUAACGCGUUAAGUCGACCGCCUGGGGAGUACGGCCGCAAGGUUAAAACUCAAAUGAAUUGACGGGGGCCCGCACAAGCGGUGGAGCAUGUGGUUUAAUUCGAUGCAACGCGAAGAACCUUACCUGGUCUUGACAUCCACGGAAGUUUUCAGAGAUGAGAAUGUGCCUUCGGGAACCGUGAGACAGGUGCUGCAUGGCUGUCGUCAGCUCGUGUUGUGAAAUGUUGGGUUAAGUCCCGCAACGAGCGCAACCCUUAUCCUUUGUUGCCAGCGGUCCGGCCGGGAACUCAAAGGAGACUGCCAGUGAUAAACUGGAGGAAGGUGGGGAUGACGUCAAGUCAUCAUGGCCCUUACGACCAGGGCUACACACGUGCUACAAUGGCGCAUACAAAGAGAAGCGACCUCGCGAGAGCAAGCGGACCUCAUAAAGUGCGUCGUAGUCCGGAUUGGAGUCUGCAACUCGACUCCAUGAAGUCGGAAUCGCUAGUAAUCGUGGAUCAGAAUGCCACGGUGAAUACGUUCCCGGGCCUUGUACACACCGCCCGUCACACCAUGGGAGUGGGUUGCAAAAGAAGUAGGUAGCUUAACCUUCGGGAGGGCGCUUACCACUUUGUGAUUCAUGACUGGGG
Molecule: ribosomal RNA, 1459 nt
Filed under: uncultured organism
Description: SSU rRNA
Rfam family: Bacterial small subunit ribosomal RNA
Source: RNAcentral